CCUACGGGAGGCAGCAGUGGGGAAUCUUGCSCAAUGGGCGAAAGCCUGAMGCAGYCAUGCCGCGUGAAUGAUGAAGGUGUUAGGAUUGUAAAAUUCUUUCACCGGGGAGGAUAAUGACGGUA
RNAcentral lists this ribosomal RNA (122 nucleotides) under uncultured bacterium. Its description in RNAcentral is "partial 16S rRNA". It matches the Rfam family "Bacterial small subunit ribosomal RNA", at positions 338 to 477 of the family's 1533-position model. The record is from RNAcentral.